Molecule: ribosomal RNA, 509 nt
Filed under: uncultured bacterium
Lineage: Bacteria
Description: bacterial SSU rRNA
Rfam family: Bacterial small subunit ribosomal RNA
Source: RNAcentral
AGUGAACGCUGGCGGCAGGCCUAAUACAUGCAAGUCGAACGGCAGCACAGCAGAGCUUGCUCUGUGGGUGGCGAGUGGCGGACGGGUGAGGAAUACGUGGGAAUCUGCCCAGUCGUGGGGGAUAACGUAGGGAAACUUACGCUAAUACCGCAUGCGCCCUUCGGGGAAAGCGGGGACCGUUCGGCCGUGGCGCGAUUGGAUGAGCCCACGUCGGAUUAGCUAGUUGGCGGGGUAAAGGGACCACCCAAGGCGACGAUCCGUAGCUGGUCUGAGAGGAUGAUCAGCCACACUGGAACUGAGACACGGUCCAGACUCCUACGGGAGGCAGCAGUAGGGAAUAUUGGACAAUGGGCGCAAGCCUGAUCCAGCCAUGCCGCGUGAGUGAAGAAGGCCCUCGGGUUGUAAAGCUCUUUUGUCCGGAAGAAAAGCGCCGGGUUAAUACCCUAGUGUCCUGACGGUACCGGAAGAAUAAGCACCGGCUAACUUCGUGCCAGCAGCCGCGGUAAAGU